CUUCAGAGAUCCUGAUAGAGAUGACGAAGAGUCCUGUGGUGGCUAUAAUCCACAUUAAACCAUCAUCAUUUCAUCUCACUGCAUUUCAUUGCAUAUUGCUUAAGUUUUUUUGGAUUAGUUGUACAAUAUAUGUCUUGGCUUAUGUAAUUUCCAAACACUUCCUACUACUUAAAUGCUUAUUACUUUCUGUUUACUUCUGAUGUUAUUGCCCACAUUUGUCAUUCUUUGUGAGUG
RNAcentral lists this long non-coding RNA (234 nucleotides) under Lathyrus oleraceus (garden pea). RNAcentral describes it as "Pisum sativum (pea) long non-coding RNA (PSAT_LNC004724)". Lineage: Eukaryota; Viridiplantae; Streptophyta; Magnoliopsida; Fabales; Fabaceae. The record is from RNAcentral.